GGCUGUAGUGGAGGGCGCGGAAGGUGUAGUGGUGGAAGAAGUGGGAGGAGAGGACAAAACCCUCCCCACCCCAAUCCCCCUGCCCCAGACUAAUGUGACCCCUGAAGGAGAAAGGGCCGAGAAAGACGGCUCCGGAGAGAUGUUCAGCGAAAGCUCCCCAAGUGGGUCAGAUAUUAUAGGGUCGGUGUCGGAAAGCACCAUGGAGACUGUGUCAGAAGGUACGGGAGAGGAGGGGGAGAUUCUGAAGGAACACCUCCCCCUACGUAAAAGAAACGCUGAAGAGCUCUCUGACCCCGAACAGGGUGAGGAGAAAAAGGGAAAGGUGGAGUGGGAGAGCUCUCAGGGGGAGGAAGAACCCAGAACCUUCCCCUCCAACUCCCCCAAUCAAGUUUCCUUUUUAAGCCCUAUUUUAACCUCCUCUCCCUUCCAAACUCCCUUACCCCGGAGGGAGAGAGAGAAAGUCCCGGAGAACUAACCCCCUUUUAACUGUUCAAUGCUUCUUCUUUUAGCACUGUUUUUACUCACCCCUUUUAUGGCUUUUAAAAUCACCACUAUAAAUGUGAGGAGUGUAAGAACAGCAACAAGAGCACAGUCGGUUUUAUCCUUUUUAGAAAGGUUUAACUCUGAUGUGUUUUUACUACAAGAGUGUGGUCUACCCUUUUUAUCCUCUUACAGGAAAUGGGAGGAUAAGUGGCAGCACGGGCCCUCCAUUUGGAGUGGUUCCAAUUUUAACAAGAACGACGGUGUUGCCAUUUUAAUCAAGACCCCACAGGUGGUGGUGAAGGGGAGCACGGUGGUGGAUCGGGAACCAGUAUGUCCAGUGCGCGGGCUCGCUAUAGGUGAGCCCACAACGGUUUGGCGCAACGUGGCCCACCCUGCUCUCCUGAAUCGGCAUCGGGACCUGUCCUGGAUGGUCGCCCACGAGAUCCUCCCGGUCAGGGCCGUUAUGCACUCACGGGGCAUGGCGAGGACAUCCGCGUGCCCCCGACCAGGCUGCGGCCAAGAAGAGUCGGUGAGGCACAUGCUCUGGGAGUGCAGAGCCGCCAGGGACCUGUGGAAGGAAGCAGGCCCCCUGAUCACCUCGUGUCUGCCAGCAGGGGAGGACCUAACACCUCAGCUCGUGCUGUAUGGGGUGGGCCGAAGGCCCAUUUCAUCGAAGACCUUCACCAAGCUCUGGCCCACCCUCACGUGCCUGAAGGAAGCACUGUGGUCCUCCCGUAACCUGCUGGUAGCGAAAAACGUAGAGAC
Oncorhynchus tshawytscha (Chinook salmon) is the source of this 1248-nucleotide long non-coding RNA. NCBI's taxonomy places the organism in Eukaryota, Metazoa, Chordata, Actinopteri, Salmoniformes, Salmonidae. The record is from Ensembl.